This 497-nucleotide ribosomal RNA is filed under the name uncultured bacterium. Its description in RNAcentral is "partial 16S ribosomal RNA". It matches the Rfam family "Bacterial small subunit ribosomal RNA", at positions 28 to 507 of the family's 1533-position model. The record is from RNAcentral.
GAUGAACGCUGGCGGCGUGCCUAAUACAUGCAAGUCGAGCGAACAGACGAGGAGCUUGCUCCUCUGACGUUAGCGGCGGACGGGUGAGUAACACGUGUAUAACCUACCUAUAAGACUGGGAUAACUUCGGGAAACCGGAGCUAAUACCGGAUAAUAUAUUGAACCGCAUGGUUCAAUAGUGAAAGACGGUUUUGCUGUCACUUAUAGAUGGAUCCGCGCCGCAUUAGCUAGUUGGUAAGGUAACGGCUUACCAAGGCAACGAUGCGUAGCCGACCUGAGAGGGUGAUCGGCCACACUGGAACUGAGACACGGUCCAGACUCCUACGAGAGGCAGCAGUAGGGAAUCUUACGCAAUGGGCGAAAGCUUGACGGAGCAACGCCGCGUGAGUGAUGAAGGUCUUCGGAUCGUAAAACUCUGUUAUUAGGGAAGAACAAAUGUGUAAGCAACUAUGCACGUCUUGACGGUACCUAAUCAGAAAGCCACGGCUAACUACGUG